RNAcentral lists this ribosomal RNA (280 nucleotides) under uncultured bacterium. RNAcentral describes it as "partial 16S ribosomal RNA". It matches the Rfam family "Bacterial small subunit ribosomal RNA", at positions 521 to 793 of the family's 1533-position model. The record is from RNAcentral.
UAAUACGGAGGGUGCGAGCGUUAAUCGGAAUUACUGGGCGUAAAGACGCAUGCAGGCGGCCUGUUAAGUCAGAUGUGAAAGACCCGGGGCUUAAACCUCGGAAUUGCAUUUGUAAACUAGGCAGGCUAGAGUCUUGUAGAGGGGGGUAGGAAUUUCAGGUGUAGCGGUGAAAUAGCGUAGAGAUCUGAAGGAAUACCAGUGGCGAAGGCGGCCCCCUGGACAAAGACUGACGCUCAGAUGCGAAAGCGUGGGGAGCAAACAGGAUUAGAUACCCUGGUAG